Molecule: long non-coding RNA, 1832 nt
Organism: Scatophagus argus
Lineage: Eukaryota; Metazoa; Chordata; Actinopteri; Scatophagidae
Exons: 5
Source: RefSeq, a predicted model, not a curated record
GAAGUAUUUAGCAGCAACGACAAUAAACUCCACAUACCGUCAUGCCUUGCGCGCCUACGUCGGCUGAGAGCAGCAUGUGCUCCGCUGCUGGGCUUUCACUAUGGCUCAGUGCGGCUCAGGCUCUUCACGGGGGCGCUUCGUGCGAGACGCCAGUCGGAUCUGCAGCGGAGACCAUCGCUGCACUGGACCAUGAGGAGGAAACAGCUUCUUUAAUUCCUCAUCGGAAAUUAUCACACUGAUCAAUCUGUUUGAUUUGCCAAAGAACGAGUCAGUUUCUUUUUUUGUUGUUCUUGGGAAACGCGUUAAGAGGAUUAAAUGCUGCUGGAUUCACGUGGAGGAGUUAUUAUUACUGUUAUUAUCGCUAUUAAUGAUAGUCUGAUGAUGGCGACAGUUUAUGGAUUCAACACUGCAGCUGUGAAUCGUCCCGCUGGAUAUGAGGAAAUACUGUCUCUCACACGGGAUGAGUGUUGUCCAAUAGUCCCACUGCCCAAGUCCUUCUGCUGGACAAGCCGUUUGGCGGACAGACGAGUCUCUUGGGAUACUUAACGCGUGUGGCCGGUGUCACGGAUGGCCAACACCGUGAUAUGGUUUUGGAAAUCGAUAUUCGUUGGAUGGAGGAUUUCGGCACCUGCAUAGGAAUAUCCUGGAAUAUAUUUUUUAAAAAAGCGAUGCUCAGCAGAUGCCCAGCAAUUUGGGUAAUGACAAUAACAGGCCUACUCAUCUCCUCAGCAGUCCCAUUUUUCCAUCAUCCGAGCACUUGCUGAAAAAGCAUUUGCUGUCUUGGAUCCAUCAUGCUCUUUCUCUGGAAAUAACUUCAGUGAAGGAAUCGAAAAUCUUGGAAUGAGAUGUCAACCUUAUAUUACUUCCCAGGGAUCUGCUGAUGAUCUCAGAUCCGAGAAGAGGCUGACUAAUGGAAACAUGAUCUCAAGAGAUUCAACAGGAUCAGACUAAAUCCUGGUUUGGACUGUGGACCAGCAUCCCCUGCAGCAGAUGUUUGUUCCUGGCAUGGCUGCGAACAGCAUGACCUCCAUCACUGACAACCUCACUUGAAAGAUCCAACACCAGCAGCGUGGACUUUGAGAAGCUGUGACAUAAACUCAGCGAGACAGUAGAGUGUAUUCUGCUGCUCCGGCAUCAUGGAACAGAUCAGUCAAGCCUGUCAGGAGAGGAACUCUCAACAGGAAAGUCAGCUCGAAGGAUAUACGUUUAUUGGAGUUAGCACAAUGCAGCCACACAUUGUUUGACUUUUCUAAAUUGAUCCUGGAUUAAUAUUUUCCUGUAGUAUACAUCUGUUUUUGAUAUUCAGUAUUUAUUCACGCUGUUGCUCAUAUACUGUAGUUCUGACAUAUACUCUACUGUUCUGGAUACAGUAUCAGCAAAUGCUGGAACUGUAGAGGGAAAAUAGUCAGAUAUUAUUUUUAUUUUUACUUUAUUUUUAUUACAGGCUAACAGCUGCUCCUAGACAUGUGCAGUCACAUAAAGUAGUUUAUCUAUUGAAGACAGUGUGAAAUUAAUUAAUACAUAGGUAAUAAAAAUUGCUUAAGGGAUCACUCAAUCAAAUGGAACUCUAAUGUUAUCUUUUGGCAUCUUAAUUGCAAAGACAAAGAAGCCCUUGUAAUCAAGGAGCUGAUGAAUAAGAUCCCAAAAAUGUUCUUAUUGACACCUUCACAUUUCUUUGUGACACAUUGGCAGCCUGUGUUAAUAUUGAUUAAUAAUUCUGUCAAGGUGUUUAGUCUAAUGAUGAUUUACAGCCCCAUAAGUUUUGUCAUGUCACUGAAGCACUUUUGCUUUGAAUAAAUAAUAAUAAUAAAAAAAAAAAAUCCAAGCUGCUG